GGCAGCUCCCAUGACACUCUGGGGCUCUGAGUGACUUCUCAGGAAGACUUGAGCAACAGAAGGGAGAGGAGUUCCCGGCUCUAAGUAACGGAGUCCAGUGUGGCUGGAGGACGCAGUUCUCAUACAUUCCCUAUCUGCUUGCUGAUGAAGGAAGGUGGAAGAAGAUCAAUAAAUAUCGUCAGUUAGUAAAUAAUUAAACAACUUUCUAAGCCGCCCUUGGUACUUCGUCCUG
Molecule: long non-coding RNA, 232 nt
Filed under: Rattus norvegicus (Norway rat)
Lineage: Eukaryota; Metazoa; Chordata; Mammalia; Rodentia; Muridae
Description: long non-coding RNA NONRATT033563
Source: RNAcentral